UGCGGAAGGAUCCUUG
RNAcentral lists this ribosomal RNA (16 nucleotides) under Aurinia saxatilis (basket-of-gold). Its description in RNAcentral is "partial 18S ribosomal RNA". The record is from RNAcentral. Lineage: Eukaryota; Viridiplantae; Streptophyta; Magnoliopsida; Brassicales; Brassicaceae.